Molecule: long non-coding RNA, 842 nt
Organism: Alexandromys fortis (reed vole)
Lineage: Eukaryota; Metazoa; Chordata; Mammalia; Rodentia; Cricetidae
Exons: 4
Source: RefSeq, a predicted model, not a curated record
GGGAGAAAGAAGCUGAGUCAGGCAGUCGCCAUGAUUCUCCCACUCCAGACAGCCGCAGGUUAAGAUCUUUCCUGGGGAGCUGCUGGCCCCAGGAUGCCCUGGGUUGGCCCUGCUCCUGCUGCUGGGAACUGGCCCCCAGAGCCACCUCUGUCCCAGCUGUAGUUGUCUGUUACCAGCCUCAGGAGGAUGCCUGAGCCAGUGACUGAUGGGUGAGACUUAAAUGCCCCCUGCUAGGAACUUUGCUUCUGUCCUGGUGCCUAUGCUGGGGAGACAGCAGACUUCAAGAAAAUCAAGCUGUUCUUCCAUGUCCCAGGUUGACUAGGUUACAUGAGCCAACACUUUCCCCUCUUGGCCUUAAGGUUACAUGAGCAGCAUUUCUAUAACUCGUGACAAGUCCCCAUGACCUUCGUGCUGUCUCUGUUAUGAAGCCACGCCACACCCCUCUGGUCCUUCAACCACACACCACAUCCUGGUCCCCUGGAGGAGGAGGAUUUCCUUUCAGUGGUCAUGAGUGAUGACCAGCGCCAUGGAGAGGCAACUCCAGAGCUCUUCUUUAAACUUUACCAAGUGGUCCUGAGUUCAUGCUGUGGAGAACUUCAUGCAAGGACCCUCGUGUGGCCUCUCAGAUAUCCUGAAACUGGGAACGGAGUGGGCAUUCAUCAUGGCCCCCACCCACAGUAAAGUCUCUGUAGCCACAGCUCCCAGCUCUAUGUGCCACAGAACUGACUGUGGGUCCCAGGUGAGUAUAAUCACUUCUCUCCUGCUCUUGAGAAAUAGUUCCGUAGUUCUUCUUUGACUGGCAGUGGUCUGCCUCUGCCAGUUCUCGGGAUCGUCUUCUCAGC